GGCCGGAGGACGUGGUGCGUCGGACCUGACGCCUCCCGGAAGGCCGCUCGCGAGGCGGGCUCUGCGUGCGAGCGGUCUCCGUCUCCGAGGGUCUCCGUGGGGCGCGGGGGUCCCCCGUCCGUAACCCCGCGAGGCCCCACGAGACCCAGGCCUGCGGGACCAGCGCAGCGCGGGCCGUGGAGCCAGGGCCGGGGCCGCACGCGGGGGUCGCAGGCGGGCCCUCCCAAACCGCCCCCCUUAGCGUCAGUAAGGUUUGUGUGGUGGCUUUACUUAUUUGCUCUGCUAUUUUUGCCUUUUCUGUCUCUUCGGGCUAAGAUCAAGCAGCAUGAGAGUAGGACCUGAUUUUGCUAACUCUUUCGUCCCCGCGCCCGUCCGAAGACCACCCGCACCUAACCAGCGAUCAAUGAAUACUUGUUGAAAGAACAAAUGAGCCGGGGAUGUAGCUCAGUGGCGCCGCCUGCCUCGCAAGCACAAGGUCCCGAGUUCGAUCCCCGCUACCAAAAACCAAAACCAAAAACCAAGAAAGAACAAAUGAAGUAAGGUGGAGGAAAAACGCGUGGCCUGUAACAAAGCCUCGCCGCCCUGCCUGACCCCGCCCUGGGCCAAGGCCUGAGAAGCAUCCAGAGAGGCUACUGAGUCGAACUAGAAGGUGACAGACCCCGGGACACAUAAAAAUAAGGGUUUUGGGGCUCUUCUCCACUUGAGACUGUUAACCUCUUCUUCUGGAAGUGUUGGCUGGAAUAUGCUGAUGUUAAGUAGGACUGCUGAUACACAGCUGCACAAUUUCAGUUGAUCUGAGAUCUUGGAUCGUAACUGACGUAUACUUUCUUACUCUGUUUCAUUUCUUGGGCUAACACUGAACCCUGGAGCCAGAGUUCAGGCCCCAGCACGCGGUGUGGGUGUCCUCGGUGGGUGGUCGACAUUUAGGACCUGCAGACCAGCUGGUUCCAGACCCAGGUGCCCCGUGACAACUCGUGAGCAUGGAGUGUCGCUGGCGGGUGAGAUCGCCACCUUCCCACAUGCUCCUUUGCCGUCUGAACAUCUCCUCUGCUGUGUUCCCUCGGCUCCAUCCAAACGCGGAAGCUGCAUGUUUCUUCCCGGCUGGCACUCUGGGUGUCGGGACAGAGCAGUGCUCAGAGCAGAUUGUCCCUGUUUGAAGCCAGCACCUCAUCCUCUGCACAGCCUUCAGAGAGCUGGACACUGGCAGAUCAUGGCUGCAAUGGUGAAGAUUCGAUGCCCUGAUGGUCCUCUGAUGCUGGGUCUGUGCACUGAGCCAGGGCCUGCAGGAAUCACAGCCAGCCCUGUGAAUCCAGCUGGGGCGUGUCAGGAAUCGGCCUCACCACUCACCAUCAUCACGGUCACCUGCCGUCUCCCUGCCGGCGUCCUGGGCCUGGAGGUGCUGUGGGAGGGCAGGACGAGGAGGGGCGCUGGCUGUCACCACGCCGUCCCUCAGGGUGGCUGAGAGGCGGGCCAUCAGUUGGAGGAAGUCAUUCCUGCUCGGCACACCGAGGAAGUCGAAAGCAUCCCACCGUGCUUAUGGUACAAAGGACACAACAGUGAGGGCGGCUUCGGUGGAGGAAAUGAGACAAAAAUUACCAGGUUUGCCUCAGACUCAUAGCAACCCUCCUGCCUCGGCUUCCCACGUGUCGGGUUGACAGCUGUGUGGACCACGCCCAGCUCUUCACUGGCUUUUGCCCUAAUGACCCAGCUCUGUGUCCUUGCCUGUAUGCCAAACACCACCUCUUGAAGCCAUUUAGGUCGAGCAGAGCAGAAAAGUGAUCCUGUGAGCCCUGCUGACCCCCAGCAGUAGCCAACCUUGACUUUUGAGCUCAAUUUGCCUUGAAUGUGAACUUGAUGGGCAGGGCUGAAGAUAUGAAGAGAGCAUCUGAUUGUAACUCGUUCAGCUGCUGGGAGUGGGUGACUUGCACUUCAGUAUUCCAGUACUGUUUUUAAAAGUCAGGUUAUCUGUUAAAUCAAUUUAGUGGGUGGGAAUCAACAUGAAAGAAAAGAAAGGAAGAAAGGAAGGAAGGAAGGCGGGAAGGCAGGAAGAAAGGAAGGAAAAGAGAGAAAGAAAGGGAAACUGGAGAGAGAAGGGGUGAGGGAAGAGCAGGAUCCCUUCCCUUCACCCCCUUUCUCUCUGCCAGGCCAGGUGCUGGGUGCCUUGCAGGGUACCACACAGCUGCACAGCACACUCACCUGGCUUCUCUGUCCCUGGCAAACCUGAGGUGGGAAGCUGACCACAGGGCAGUGUUCUGGAGCACAGUAGCUCAUCAGGCCUUGGUCUGCCCAGGGGCACUGCAGAGCCACCUUCCAGCAUGGGGACUUCCUGAGUGCUUCCUUCCUGAGGUGCCUGUCCAUGGGGCAUCGUUUACCUCUCCAGCAGUUUGGGGGGUCACACUCUCCCUCCAGGUGGCUUGCUGAGCACACCUAACUACCCUGCACCAAGCACUGAAAGUGUCGCUAAGUUGCUGGUUCUGCCUGCUUUCCCUGGCCCUGCUGGAGGAAAGGCUUGGCAAGCUCCACUCUGCAUGUUUGGGGAGCAUGAGGGAAUAGGGGGAGUGCUCUGUGGAGAUCAGUCCCAAGGAAAAGCUGAGGCAAGAGAUCCAUACCACAGUGCUCAGUCAAGAUGGAAUGCUCAUGCUCAGGAGGGAGGUUUCAUCUGGAGAAGUGGAGGUGAUUGGUUUUCCAGCACCUUGGGGAUCUAUAUGUGCCUGCCAGGCGGGCCUGGGUGGGCUGAGACAAUUCUCCUGUGUCUAGGUGAUGUUCCUGAUGGCCCAUGGGGCACACUCGACAAUCACAGAACAACGGUCAUUCCAGGGCCUGGAACUGAGGUCCAAUUGCGUUAGCUUCCUUCCACACUAGCUGUUUCUCCAAACAUCAGUGAUUUUUAACACCAACUACUUUGGAGACAUUUGCCAUGCAGUAGACGCAUCAUCAGAUCCUGAUAUCCAAGGGGCCCAACUAUUGCUGCUGCUAUAUUCCCUUUUCUUAGCCUGAUUUUAGGGGGAAAAGAAUCACAUGGAUGAUAAGAAAGGAGUUCACUAUGACAAAAUGCUAUGAGGCUAUUGAAAAUGAUACUCCAGAAAUCAAUCACAAAGCAGUGGGUAGCACAUCCUUCUUAUAAAAAUGCAUGGGGGCCAGGGAUUUAGCUCAGUGGUUCCGGUGCCUACCUCACAAGUUCAAGGACUCAAGUUCGAUCUCCGGUACCAAAAAAAAAAAAAAAAAAAAAGAAUAGCCAAGGUGUCUUAGUUAAUUUCUAGAUGCUGGGCCGAAAUAUCUGACACAAGAUAAAGGAGGAAAGUUUUUAGAGGUUUCAUCUGUAGUCAGCUAGCGCUAAGGUAGGGCAGCAUGGCAGAGGGGCAUCACAUAGAAGAAACAGCCCAUGGCAGAGUAGGCAGGAAGCAGUGAGCCUCCCUUUCCCUUCAUAUUCCAUCCAGCUUACAAGCCUAUUGGUUGGUGCCACCCAUACCCAAGGUGGGGCUUCCCUCCUCAGUAAAUCCAUCAUCCAUACCCAGAACCAGGCCAAGCCAAUCAGUGGACUAAUCCAGUAUCACAUCCAGCCACUCCCCAAAGCCUCACCUAUGAGCACAAGAGGCUUUGGGGGGACAUCUAGUUAUAAACCAUAACACUAGUGUUACAUAUAACAUGAUCUUGAAAGUGAUUUUAUCUUGGGUAGGACAAUGGAUUUAAACACUUCUUAUCUGUCUGUAUUUUCUUUUUUCUGUAGAUGUUCAUUCUUCAAAGUUUUAUUACAGAAAAUUUCACACAUACAGAUGAUCUGAAAGAAAUACACAGGAAACACUUGUAGCCUGUACUCUCAGAAUCAGCAAUUAGCAUUCGCUGUAUGCUUGUAGUUUUUCCUGAGCCACCUGCAGCUGAGCUGUAGCCAGCAAUUCACCCCCUCACCCAGUCCAAUCUCAAAGUCAUCAUCGCCCCCAAGAGGUGAAUUCCUGAUGGCGUCUCAUUCUGGAUUGAUUCUGGGAUAUGGGAAAGCAUAAAAGAACAAUAGUAACUUUGAAUAAAAGUGAACAUGCUAGACCACACUUAUGCAUCUUCUAGUCUUAGGAAGAGCAGGAAGUUACAGGUCUUGAUCCCUGGGCCCUGGUGCCUCCUGCAAAUCCACAGUGUGCAUGGGGGGCACUGUCUCCAUUCCCUCUGGUCUGAUCUGCAGCCAGACCUGAAGCAGGGGAGAAGGGAUGAACGGGGAGGACACAGGAAGCUCCUGGAGUUGGUCUAGGAUGAGCAGUCCUUUUCCAAAAUGCUUGGGACAGAAGGGUUUUGGAUUUCAAUUUUUUUUUUUCAGAUUUUGGGAUGGUUGCAUAGAUUUACAUCUAGAUGCUCCCUUAAAGACACAUGCACUCAUAGGCAGGACCUUUGGUGGGUGACUGGAUUAUAGGGGUGUCAGAGCUGAUUUGCUGUUGGGAAGUGGGGUUUGUCCGAAGAGGUGGUCACCAUGGGUGUGACCUGACAGGUGUAUCUCCCUUCCAUCUCCUCCCUUCAUCUCCUCAGACUCCUGCCCACCAGGCCCCACGAGUUCUGCCAUGGAGCCAGCAGACUACGGACUGAAGUGUGAGCCAAAAUAAGCCUUUCCUCUUCUAAAUUUCAGGUGUGGAGCAUUUUGUCCUAGUGAGUUAGAAAGUGACUAAGACAGACAUAGCAAGAGGUCCUGGGGACAGAGCCCACGUCCAAAUACAAAAUUUAUGCAUGUUUCAUGGAUGCCUCAUACACAUAGCUUCAGGUCACUUCACACAAUAUUUUUGGCGUGCCUAUGUCUUCUCUACAGCCCAUCACAUGAGGUCAGGGGCAGAAUUUUCCACUUGUGGCAGACAUCAUGUCAGGGUUCAAAAUGCUUGAAAUCGAGCAUUUGGGAUUUGGGGUUUUCAGAUUAGGGCUGUUCAGGAUGUGCAGGGUGAAGCAGUAAAAAUUCCAGAUCGGGGUGCAGUGGAAGGAGAAGGGGUGGAGUCCAGGGUCUGGGAAGGCACAGGUCGGGGCAGAGAGGAGUGUUUCCCCCUUCACAGAUGACCACCCCACACGGAACUCAGAACUCCUUCAAGGUCCCACCUGGCUGGUACUGCGAGGGACAGCUUUCCCCAAAGGCAGGGUCUGUUUCUCUUGCAUUCUGUCUCCCAAGUUGUUGAAAAUCCUGAGAUGGGCUUGAUUUGCUCAGGUUGUCACCGUGGAGCUAUGCGUGUGGUGAAUAAAUGAAGUUAUUUCACUGAGUCCAUUUCUUCAAACUGUAGUUAAAAAUUCAAUGGCUUUUGUAAAAUUUCAACUUUAAUCUGUAAUCUUCAUAUUCCUCUUAAAAUGGAAUUCUGCGGAAGUAGUAAUAGAAGGCACUCAAAUUUGGAAUCUUCAGCACAACAUGAAUAGAUGGCCCAGUCUCCACAUUGAUUUAAUGUGGUGGGGAGUUAUAAAGGUGUAAAUCGAAUAUCUCCAGAAGAGAUAACAAAUGUCAGGGAGUGAGCCAAUGCCGUGAUUGCUGAUGGCAGGAAGACUUUGCUGCUCAUCGAGUGGGAAGGGUCCCAUCUGAUACCUACAAUGUCAACAGCUUCCUAUAAUUGCAGGGAAUUUGAAGUGAAAAUUCAUUUUAUUUUUUUCCACUGUACGUCCCUCAUUUUGUCAUAGUUUAGACAUUUUUCCUCUCAAAAGCUAAGGACUAAUGCUCAUCAGAAUGCAAAUUUACAAAGAAUCUGAUGUAACCCUCGCCUUUGAUGUACAAAGAAAUUUGCUUAACUUUC
This is a non-coding RNA of Heterocephalus glaber (naked mole-rat), 5738 nucleotides long. The record is from RefSeq and is a predicted model, not a curated record. Lineage: Eukaryota; Metazoa; Chordata; Mammalia; Rodentia; Bathyergidae.